Molecule: ribosomal RNA, 468 nt
Filed under: uncultured bacterium
Lineage: Bacteria
Description: partial 16S ribosomal RNA
Rfam family: Bacterial small subunit ribosomal RNA
Source: RNAcentral
GACGAACGCUGGCGGCGUGCUUAACACAUGCAAGUCGAACGGAAGGGCCCUGCUCUUGUGGGGUGCUCGAGUGGCGAACGGGUGAGUAACACGUGAGUAACCUGCCCUUGUCUUUGGGAUAACUUCAGGAAACUGGGGCUCAUACCGGAUAGGAGCUCCUGCUGCGUGGUGGGGGUUGGAAAGUUUCGGCGGUUGGGGAUGGUCUCGCGGCUUAUCAGCUUGUUGGUGGGGUAGUGGCUUACCAGGGCUUUGACGGGUAGGCGGCCUGAGAGAGUGACCGGCCACAUUGGGACUGAGAUACGGCCCAGACGCCUACGGGAGGCAGCAGGGGGGAAUAUUGCACAAUGGGCGGAAGCCUGAUGCAGCAACGCCGCGUGCGGGAUGACGGCCUUCGGGUUGUAAACAGCUUUCGACUGUGACGAAGCGUGAGUGACGGUAAUGGGUAAAGAAGCACCGGCUAACUACGUG